AUUUUUCCCUUUCUGUCGGCGUCUUACCAUGCAAGUCGUGCGCGAAGGUGGCUUCGGCCACCGGAGAGCGGCGAACGGGUGAGUAACACGUGGGUGAUCUGCCUGGGAGCGGGGGAUAACCUGGGGAAACUCGGGCUAAUACCGCAUACGUUGGUGAGGUUGCGGCCUCAUCAAGAAAGCUGGCCUCUGUUUACAAGCUAGCACUCCCAGAGGAGCCCGCGGCUGAUUAGCUAGUUGGUGGGGUAAAGGCCCACCAAGGCGACGAUCAGUAGCCGGCCUGAGAGGGUGAUCGGCCACACUGGGACUGAGACACGGCCCAGACUCCUACGGGAGGCAGCAGUGGGGAAUAUUGGACAAUGGGCGCAAGCCUGAUCCAGCAACGCCGCGUGGAGGACGAAGGUCUUCGGAUCGUAAACUCCUGUCAGGCGGGACGAAGGCUGCGGGGCAAAUAGCCCCGUAGCUUGACGGUACUGCCAGAGGAAGCCCCGGCUAGCUCCGUGCCAGCAGCCGCGGUAAUACGGAGGGGGCUAGCGUUAUUCGGAAUUAUUGGGCGUAAAGGGCGCGUAGGCGGCCCGGUAAGUCAAAGGUGAAAUCCCUCGGCUCAACUGAGGAACUGCCUUUGAAACUGUCGGGCUUGAGG
RNAcentral lists this ribosomal RNA (640 nucleotides) under uncultured bacterium. RNAcentral's name for it is "bacterial SSU rRNA". It matches the Rfam family "Bacterial small subunit ribosomal RNA", at positions 28 to 647 of the family's 1533-position model. The record is from RNAcentral.